This 253-nucleotide ribosomal RNA is filed under the name uncultured bacterium. Its description in RNAcentral is "partial 16S ribosomal RNA". It matches the Rfam family "Bacterial small subunit ribosomal RNA", at positions 524 to 776 of the family's 1533-position model. The record is from RNAcentral.
UACGUAGGGUGCAAGCGUUAAUCGGAAUUACUGGGCGUAAAGCGUGCGCAGGCGGCUAUGCAAGACAGAUGUGAAAUCCCCGGGCUCAACCUGGGAAUGGCAUUUGGGACUGCAAGGCUUGAGUGCGGCAGAGGAGACUGGAAUUCCUGGUGUAGCAGUGAAAUGCGUAGAUAUCAGGAGGAACACCGAUGGCGAAGGCAGGUCUCUGGGCUGACACUGACGCUGAGAAGCGAAAGCAUGGGGAGCGAACGGG